ACGAGUUAACUUGGGGCUGGUGGGAUUCGAUGCUGGCCGUCCGCGGCACGUGCUCGUCCCCCUGCCCCUCAUCCACUCACAACCCCUGUGCAUCAUGAGAGGCGUCGGUUCCCCCGUCACGGGAGCAGCUCCCCCCUUGGGUCGAGCCGGGAUCACGCUUCGAACCCCCUUACACAAACGUUAACACAGUAUUGUAGAAUGUCAUGACCGUCAACGGUCGAACCUAUAUA
This 230-nucleotide unclassified non-coding RNA is filed under the name uncultured Hymenochaetales. RNAcentral's name for it is "sequence contains ITS1". Lineage: Eukaryota; Fungi; Basidiomycota; Agaricomycetes; Hymenochaetales. The record is from RNAcentral.